CCUACGGGUGGCAGCAGUGAGGAAUAUUGGUCAAUGGACGAGAGUCUGAACCAGCCAAGUAGCGUGAAGGAUGACUGCCCUAUGGGUUGUAAACUUCUUUUAUAUGGGAAUCAAACGUUCCACGUGUGGGAUUUUGUAUGUACCAUAUGAAUAAGGAUCGGCUAACUCCGUGCCAGCAGCCGCGGUAAUACGGAGGAUCCGAGCGUUAUCCGGAUUUAUUGGGUUUAAAGGGAGCGUAGGUGGAUUGUUAAGUCAGUUGUGAAAGUUUGCGGCUCAACCGUAAAAUUGCAGUUGAAACUGGCAGUCUUGAGUACAGUAGAGGUGGGCGGAAUUCGUGGUGUAGCGGUGAAAUGCUUAGAUAUCACGAAGAACACCGAUUGCGAAGGCAGUUCACUGGACUGCAACUGACACUGAGGCUCGAAAGUGUGGGUAUCAAACAGGAUUAGAUACCCUUGUAGUC
Molecule: ribosomal RNA, 460 nt
Filed under: uncultured bacterium
Lineage: Bacteria
Description: partial 16S ribosomal RNA
Rfam family: Bacterial small subunit ribosomal RNA
Source: RNAcentral